This 253-nucleotide ribosomal RNA is filed under the name uncultured bacterium. Its description in RNAcentral is "partial 16S ribosomal RNA". It matches the Rfam family "Bacterial small subunit ribosomal RNA", at positions 524 to 776 of the family's 1533-position model. The record is from RNAcentral.
UACGUAGGGUGCAAGCGUUAAUCGGAAUUACUGGGCGUAAAGCGUGCGCAGGCGGUUCGUUGUGUCGGUGGUGAAAUCCCCGGGCUUAACCUGGGAAUGGCCAUGGAAACUGGCGAACCGGAGUGCGGCAGAGGGGGGUGGAAUUCCGCGUGUAGCAGUGAAAUGCGUAGAGAUGCGGAGGAACACCGAUGGCGAAGGCAGCCCCCUGGGCUUGCACUGACGCUCAGGCACGAAAGCGUGGGGAGCAAACAGG